RNAcentral lists this transfer RNA (57 nucleotides) under Loxodonta africana (African savanna elephant). It matches the Rfam family "tRNA", at positions 8 to 63 of the family's 71-position model. Rfam says of the family: Transfer RNA (tRNA) molecules are approximately 80 nucleotides in length. Their secondary structure includes four short double-helical elements and three loops (D, anti-codon, and T loops). Lineage: Eukaryota; Metazoa; Chordata; Mammalia; Proboscidea; Elephantidae. The record is from Rfam by way of RNAcentral.
UAGUGCAAUGGUUAAGCAUUUGGCUGCUAACCAAAAGGUUGGUGGUUCAAACCCACC